This 656-nucleotide ribosomal RNA is filed under the name uncultured Bacteroidales bacterium. Its description in RNAcentral is "bacterial SSU rRNA". It matches the Rfam family "Bacterial small subunit ribosomal RNA", at positions 100 to 755 of the family's 1533-position model. Lineage: Bacteria; Pseudomonadati; Bacteroidota; Bacteroidia; Bacteroidales. The record is from RNAcentral.
GCACGGGUGAGUAACACGUAUCCAACCUGCCGAUGACUCGGGGAUAGCCUUUCGAAAGAAAGAUUAAUACCCGAUGGCAUAGUUCUUCCGCAUGGUAGAACUAUUAAAGAAUUUCGGUCAUCGAUGGGGAUGCGUUCCAUUAGGUUGUUGGCGGGGUAACGGCCCACCAAGCCUUCGAUGGAUAGGGGUUCUGAGAGGAAGGUCCCCCACAUUGGAACUGAGACACGGUCCAAACUCCUACGGGAGGCAGCAGUGAGGAAUAUUGGUCAAUGGACGAGAGUCUGAACCAGCCAAGUAGCGUGAAGGAUGACUGCCCUAUGGGUUGUAAACUUCUUUUAUACGGGAAUAAAGUGAGGCACGUGUGCCUUUUUGUAUGUACCGUAUGAAUAAGGAUCGGCUAACUCCGUGCCAGCAGCCGCGGUAAUACGGAGGAUCCGAGCGUUAUCCGGAUUUAUUGGGUUUAAAGGGAGCGUAGGCGGACGCUUAAGUCAGUUGUGAAAGUUUGCGGCUCAACCGUAAAAUUGCAGUUGAUACUGGGUGUCUUGAGUACAGUAGAGGCAGGCGGAAUUCGUGGUGUAGCGGUGAAAUGCUUAGAUAUCACGAAGAACUCCGAUUGCGAAGGCAGCCUGCUGGACUGUAACUGACGCUGAUGCUCG